Molecule: ribosomal RNA, 468 nt
Filed under: uncultured bacterium
Lineage: Bacteria
Description: partial 16S ribosomal RNA
Rfam family: Bacterial small subunit ribosomal RNA
Source: RNAcentral
GACGAACGCUGGCGGCGUGCUUAACACAUGCAAGUCGAACGGAAAGGCCCUGCUUUUGUGGGGUGCUCGAGUGGCGAACGGGUGAGUAACACGUGAGUAACCUGCCCUUGACUUUGGGAUAACUUCAGGAAACUGGGGCUAAUACCGGAUAGGAGCUCCUGCUGCAUGGUGGGGGUUGGAAAGUUUCGGCGGUUGGGGAUGGACUCGCGGCUUAUCAGCUUGUUGGUGGGGUAGUGGCUUACCAAGGCUUUGACGGGUAGCCGGCCUGAGAGGGUGACCGGCCACAUUGGGACUGAGAUACGGCCCAGACUCCUACGGGAGGCAGCAGUGGGGAAUAUAGCACAAUGGGCGGAAGCCUGGUGCAGCAACGCCGCGUGCGGGAUGACGGCCUUCGGGUUGUAAACCGCUUUCGCCUGUGACGAAGCGUGAGUGACGGUAAUGGGUAAAGAAGCACCGGCUAACUACGUG